Molecule: ribosomal RNA, 885 nt
Filed under: Triticum aestivum (bread wheat)
Lineage: Eukaryota; Viridiplantae; Streptophyta; Magnoliopsida; Poales; Poaceae
Description: partial small subunit ribosomal RNA
Source: RNAcentral
AUGUUGGUAAUUUGGUUUGCACCCCCACCGACACCGACUUGGGGAUCCCGAUGUCCCCGACCCAUCUUCCUCUUUCCUCUCCCACCCAGCCAUUUGAAACUGCGGGGAAGAAACCAGAACGCGGAUUCGAGCUCCCUGGCUUGUCUUGCAACCCCACGGAUGUGGGGCUGGUGCAGGACUGCCUCCGCCCAGCAAUCAAACUCAUGCAGCCUCAGCCGGAGGAACCCACCCCUUCUGAUCCGUUUCGGCUGCAACGCGGUGGUGGGGUUGUUAACCCUGACCUCCCUUGCAAAGACCCGUGGGAACUCCCUGGAUGGUUUAGUCCUGUGCCAUGUAUUCGAGACAGACUCACCCGACUACGAAGACAACCCCAAAUGCCUAGGAUGCCAUCGAGGAGCAUGCAGUGGACACCACAAUGAUCACGAAUUCGGAGCUCCAAGCGAGGACACUUCACUCAAUUCACCACAUCCAGGAUCCAGGCCAAUGCACUAUUACCCGAAGCACCAUUCUGACCCAAGAUUAAAGUCUUACAUUGAACAACUUGGAAACCUCUUGUUCAGUGACUCUGAUCCUGACAACUCCGCAGAUACGGGAAACUGUGGUGCAGGAAGAGGCGACCCUCCAAUCACUGACUAUGGGCAGUCGAGAAAGCGCAAAAAGAUCUCAGAUGUUUGGGAUUACUUCACCAAGAUAUAUGCGCUCGACAUCAACGGGAAGGUUUUGACAUUUGCGGCUUGCAACCACUGCUGCAAGAUACUGACAGCGAGUUCCAAGAAUGGAACCUCGCAACUUGCAAGGCACACGUGCCUGUGCAAGUUCAAACCAGUAGCAGCUGGCAGAAAUGCCAAGGACUCCGGCGGCAACCCCAAUGUCCUAUUGUCCUAA